AACGCUAGCUACAGGCUUAACACAUGCAAGUCGAGGGGCAGCAUGGUCUUAGCUUGCUAAGGCCGAUGGCGACCGGCGCACGGGUGAGUAACACGUAUCCAACCUGCCGUCUACUCUUGGACAGCCUUCUGAAAGGAAGAUUAAUACAAGAUGGCAUCAUGAGUCCGCAUGUUCACGUGAUUAAAGGUAUUCCGGUAGACGAUGGGGAUGCGUUCCAUUAGAUAGUAGGCGGGGUAACGGCCCACCUAGUCUUCGAUGGAUAGGGGUUCUGAGAGGAAGGUCCCCCACAUUGGAACUGAGACACGGUCCAAACUCCUACGGGAGGCAGCAGUGAGGAAUAUUGGUCAAUGGGCGAGAGCCUGAACCAGCCAAGUAGCGUGAAGGAUGACUGCCCUAUGGGUUGUAAACUUCUUUUAUAAAGGAAUAAAGUCGGGUAUGGAUACCCGUUUGCAUGUACUUUAUGAAUAAGGAUCGGCUAACUCCGUGCCAGCAGCCGCGGUAAUACGGAGGAUCCGAGCGUUAUCCGGAUUUAUUGGGUUUAAAGGGAGCGUAGAUGGAUGUUUAAGUCAGUUGUGAAAGUUUGCGGCUCAACCGUAAAAUUGCAGUUGAUACUGGAUAUCUUGAGUGCAGUUGAGGCAGGCGGAAUUCGUGGUGUAGCGGUGAAAUGCUUAGAUAUCACGAAGAACUCCGAUUGCGAAGGCAGCCUGCUAAGCUGCAACUGACAUUGAGGCUCGAAAGUGUGGGUAUCAAACAGGAUUAGAUACCCUGGUAGUCCACACGGUAAACGAUGAAUACUCGCUGUUUGCGAUAUACAGCAAGCGGCCAAGCGAAAGCGUUAAGUAUUCCACCUGGGGAGUACGCCGGCAACGGUGAAACUCAAAGGAAUUGACGGGGGCCCGCACAAGCGGAGGAACAUGUGGUUUAAUUCGAUGAUACGCGAGGAACCUUACCCGGGCUUAAAUUGCAGAUGAAUUACGGUGAAAGCCGUAAGCCGCAAGGCAUCUGUGAAGGUGCUGCAUGGUUGUCGUCAGCUCGUGCCGUGAGGUGUCGGCUUAAGUGCCAUAACGAGCGCAACCCUUGUUGUCAGUUACUAACAGGUUCCGCUGAGGACUCUGACAAGACUGCCAUCGUAAGAUGUGAGGAAGGUGGGGAUGACGUCAAAUCAGCACGGCCCUUACGUCCGGGGCUACACACGUGUUACAAUGGGGGGUACAGAGGGCCGCUACCACGCGAGUGGAUGCCAAUCCCCAAAACCUCUCUCAGUUCGGACUGGAGUCUGCAACCCGACUCCACGAAGCUGGAUUCGCUAGUAAUCGCGCAUCAGCCACGGCGCGGUGAAUACGUUCCCGGGCCUUGUACACACCGCCCGUCAAGCCAUGGGAGCCGGGGGUACCUGAAGUGCGUAACCGCGAGGAGCGCCCUAGGGUAAAACUGGUGACUGGGGCUAAGU
RNAcentral lists this ribosomal RNA (1450 nucleotides) under uncultured organism. RNAcentral describes it as "SSU rRNA". It matches the Rfam family "Bacterial small subunit ribosomal RNA". The record is from RNAcentral.